GUGUGCUGGUGAAACUACUGCUUGUUAGUGUAGUCAUUGCGAAACUCGGUUUGAUUUAAUGAAGGUUUCUGAUGCAAUCAUGCAGUAUGAAUAAUCGCUUACAAGUGCAUGUAUUCGAAGAAGCAGAAUGAAAUGAGAAUUUGAGCGAUGAAUGAUGGUUUUUUCGCCGGAGAAGAAGCAGCAACUGGAUAAAUCUUUGGUUUGGUAUCUUCGAAGCAAAUAUUUAUCUGAAACGAUGGGCACAAAUUUACUAUUUUUUAAGAUUUUUGUGACAUUUUCUUAAUAUUUUUUUAAAAUAUUGAUUUUUGUGAUUAUGUUGGAUUGAUUUUCAUAACGCUAAAAUUAUUCACACACUCUAUCUGCCUAUUUGCACAUCGUCUGUCUCGUAUAGGCCUAUACUGAACACUCUAUCUGCCUAUUUGCACAUCGUAUGUCUCGUAUAGGCCUAUACUGGACGUAUAUUUUUUUUUUCUCUUUUUAAAAGUUUGCUAAAACGAUUAAAAUUUUUAAAAAUAAAAUGACAAAUUACCAUUUUAGCCCUGAGACAUCCCUAGUAUAGGCCUAAUUCAAGGCUAAAAUGGUAAUUUGCCUUUAUAAAAGUGUUUUUUUUAAACUCAUUUAUAUACAUACGCCUCAGGCCUAUACCAGACAUAUAAGAGAGGCUAUAAAGACCAAUUUACCAAUGUGUAUAGCCCUAAAUCAACGCCUUUAGUUUUCGUAUUUCGUUGCUAUAGUGAGUGCUUGUAUCGUAACGAACCGAACCAAUACCUAACAAAUUCCCAUUGCGAAGCGCGGGGGAAACCCACUAUUUUUUCAAGUUAAAGAAGAAUGCAUGAAAUCUAAUCUUUGUUAUCUUUCAUGAGUUUAUUUUACAGUUUCUUUGUGGGCAACCAUUUUUAUAUGAAUUCCGGUACAUGAAAAGAACUCCAGUGGGGUGAUUUUGGCAAAAGUAUUCAUAAACUGUUGAACCAACCGAACUGUGUAAAGCGUAGCAAGUUCGUUGGUUAUUUGAUAAGUCAGUUUGCUCCUUGAGGGUAUUGCUUUUCUUUUGACUUUUCCUCUUUGUGAUUUGAAGGUGAGGAAGAUCAUAGCAGAUUUAGACCAUUAAGCUACAGAGGUGCAAACAUAUGUGUUAGCUUUUUCUCUAAUUAGUCGGGCAAGCUAUGAGAAUGUUUCAAAAAGCGUGAGAGCGUUCCUCAAGACUUCACGGUUGUAGAAAAAGGAGAGAACACAAAGCAAAUAAAGUGUCGAAAUAAAAAGAGAUGGCUAAUCGCCUUUUUAUUUUGUGGCAGUCACAAGAACAAACACGUCUGACCAAAAAAUUAUGAACAUUUUUAUUUGUUUAUAAAAUGCUUACCUCUUGACU
Molecule: long non-coding RNA, 1366 nt
Filed under: Helianthus annuus (common sunflower)
Lineage: Eukaryota; Viridiplantae; Streptophyta; Magnoliopsida; Asterales; Asteraceae
Description: hypothetical non coding rna
Source: RNAcentral